Long non-coding RNA from Hevea brasiliensis (rubber tree), 517 nucleotides. RefSeq lists it as uncharacterized. The record is from RefSeq and is a predicted model, not a curated record. The transcript is spliced from 3 exons. NCBI's taxonomy places the organism in Eukaryota, Viridiplantae, Streptophyta, Magnoliopsida, Malpighiales, Euphorbiaceae.
UUGGUUUACACUUACACUGCUUGAGGGACAGCAAGCUAUCAUGGAAUUGCUGUAUGCUUCCUGGGAAAUGAAAAACCAAAUCUAAGAUUCUAACUCAAGCCAAUGAUAGAAGAAAAUUAUAUGUUAUGCCGGAGAUGCCAUGUGGCACCGAGUUCUAGCUUCAGCAACUGGAGCGUGAAGUACCAUUGAUUUAAUGAUCUGGGGUGCACCAAUUAUACAUCUUCAUAUUUGUGCUUGCAUUGUUUCUAUAGUGUAGUCCCAUUGCACUGGCAAAGGCUAAGAUCUUUCCAGGUUGAGGUUUAUGAGACAAACAUCUUUUCUUUUGAGGCAUACAGGCUUGUCCACAACACAAAGUCUUAGAUGGAUUGUUAGAUUCGUUAUGAUGAAAACUUUUGCUAUGGGUUGUUUGGAAUAAGACAAUGAAAAGGUAAGAGAAUAAUUCAAAGUGAAAUUUGCUGGAUACGCUCAGAUAUUUAAGUUAAUUCUUAUUUCAAUAGAGACAAUAAAAAAAAUUAAA